RNAcentral lists this long non-coding RNA (742 nucleotides) under Chrysemys picta bellii (western painted turtle). RNAcentral describes it as "lncRNA (ENSCPBG00000001620.1)". The record is from RNAcentral. Lineage: Eukaryota; Metazoa; Chordata; Testudines; Emydidae.
UGGGGCUGGGGUAGUUUCUAGCCUCCUGCUCUCCCCACAGGCCUGGGGCCCUUGUUCCGGUCUCCGGUUAAUUGGCAGCUGCAUGAGGUGGCUGAGAAGUGGGGGCACCAUCCUGCACAGUUACAAACUUAAGGGUUUUUUUUCCUAAAAGGAGCUGCUAGCCGGGAUCCUGGCAUCCGGUCUCAUCGUGCGCCCCGAGUCCCUGCUGUGUAUGGUCUGAGUCUGGGGGGACGUGAGGGGCACUGUGCUGCGUGGGCAUCAGUUUCCAGGGGGCUGCAGCAGCAUUUCCGAUCGUCGGGAGUGUGGGAGCUCUGAAGGAAGGCGUGUCAGCAGGAAAAAAAUCAGACCGCAGAGAUGAUAAAGAACAACAACAAUAUAACACUGUUAUCAUUGCAACACGCCUUCAUUUUCACUCAUGCAUCUGCUCGCUCUGUGCAGGCCAACAGCUAUUUGUGCAUGCAAAUCCAAUAACCAACGAGCAAUGUGGAAAUGCAAAGCAAGUGUCUGCCCAUUCAUGCCAGCAACAGCAAAUGUGAACGUGUAAAAAGGGAGGCAAAAAUUGUUGGUGGAAAAUACAGGGCUGGUGCUACCAUUAAGGCAAACCAGGCGGUUGCCUAGGGUGCCAAGAUUUGGGGGCGCCAAAAAGUGGUGCCCCAAAUUUUUUUUACAGUGUUCCUACGCCCCCGCCCCGAGCGCGCGGUCGCCACUCCACUUCUCCCACCUCCCAGGCUUGCAGCGCCAA